CACGUAGGGCGCAAGCGUUGUCCGGAAUUAUUGGGCGUAAAGAGCUCGUAGGUGGUUUGUUACGUCUGCUGUGAAAACCUAGGGCUUAACCCUGGGCUUGCAGUGGAUACGGGCAGACUAGAGGUAGGUAGGGGAGAAUGGAAUUCCUGGUGUAGCGGUGAAAUGCGCAGAUAUCAGGAGGAACACCGGUGGCGAAGGCGGUUCUCUGGGCCUUACCUGACACUGAGGAGCGAAAAGCGUGGGGGAGCGAACAGG
Molecule: ribosomal RNA, 255 nt
Filed under: uncultured bacterium
Lineage: Bacteria
Description: partial 16S ribosomal RNA
Rfam family: Bacterial small subunit ribosomal RNA
Source: RNAcentral